GGGUUGUGAGGUUAAGCGACUAAGCGUACACGGUGGAUGCCCUGGCAGUCAGAGGCGAUGAAGGACGUGCUAAUCUGCGAAAAGCGUCGGUAAGGUGAUAUGAACCGUUAUAGCCGGCGAUGUCCGAAUGGGGAAACCCAGUGCAAUUCGUUGCACUAUCGUUAACUGAAUACAUAGGUUAACGAGGCGAACCGGGGGAACUGAAACAUCUAAGUACCCCGAGGAAAAGAAAUCAACCGAGAUUCCCCCAGUAGCGGCGAGCGAACGGGGAGCAGCCCAGAGUCUGAAUCAGCUUGUGUGUUAGUGGAACGGUCUGGAAAGUCCGACGGUACAGGGUGAUAGUCCCGUACACCAAAAUGCACAGGUUGUGAACUCGAAGAGUAGGGCGGGACACGUGGUAUCCUGUCUGAAUAUGGGGGGACCAUCCUCCAAGGCUAAAUACUCCUGACUGACCGAUAGUGAACCAGUACCGUGAGGGAAAGGCGAAAAGAACCCCGGCGAGGGGAGUGAAAAAGAACCUGAAACCGUGUACGUACAAGCAGUGGGAGCACCUUCGGGUGUGACUGCGUACCUUUUGUAUAAUGGGUCAGCGACUUAUAUUCUGUAGCAAGGUUAACCGUAUAGGGGAGCCGCAGGGAAACCGAGUCUUAACUGGGCGUUAAGUUGCAGGGUAUAGACCCGAAACCCGGUGAUCUAGCCAUGGGCAGGUUGAAGGUUGGGUAACACUAACUGGAGGACCGAACCGACUAAUGUUGAAAAAUUAGCGGAUGACUUGUGGCUGGGGGUGAAAGGCCAAUCAAACCGGGAGAUAGCUGGUUCUCCCCGAAAGCUAUUUAGGUAGCGCCUCGUGAAUUCAUCUUCGGGGGUAGAGCACUGUUUCGGCUAGGGGGUCAUCCCGACUUACCAACCCGAUGCAAACUACGAAUACCGAAGAAUGUUAUCACGGGAGACACACGGCGGGUGCUAACGUCCGUCGUGAAGAGGGAAACAACCCAGACCGCCAGCUAAGGUCCCAAAGUCAUGGUUAAGUGGGAAACGAUGUGGGAAGGCACAGACAGCCAGGAUGUUGGCUUAGAAGCAGCCAUCAUUUAAAGAAAGCGUAAUAGCUCACUGGUCGAGUCGGCCUGCGCGGAAGAUGUAACGGGGCUAAACCAUGCACCGAAGCUGCGGCAGCGACACUAUGUGUUGUUGGGUAGGGGAGCGUUCUGUAAGCCUGCGAAGGUGUGCUGUGAGGCAUGCUGGAGGUAUCAGAAGUGCGAAUGCUGACAUAAGUAACGAUAAAGCGGGUGAAAAGCCCGCUCGCCGGAAGACCAAGGGUUCCUGUCCAACGUUAAUCGGGGCAGGGUGAGUCGACCCCUAAGGCGAGGCCGAAAGGCGUAGUCGAUGGGAAACAGGUUAAUAUUCCUGUACUUGGUGUUACUGCGAAGGGGGGACGGAGAAGGCUAUGUUAGCCGGGCGACGGUUGUCCCGGUUUAAGCAUGUAGGCUGGUUGUCCAGGCAAAUCCGGAUAAUCAAGGCUGAGGUGUGAUGACGAGGCACUACGGUGCUGAAGUAACAAAUGCCCUGCUUCCAGGAAAAGCCUCUAAGCAUCAGGUAACAUCAAAUCGUACCCCAAACCGACACAGGUGGUCAGGUAGAGAAUACCAAGGCGCUUGAGAGAACUCGGGUGAAGGAACUAGGCAAAAUGGUGCCGUAACUUCGGGAGAAGGCACGCUGGUGUGUAGGUGAAGUCCCUGCGGAUGGAGCUGAGACCAGUCGAAGAUACCAGCUGGCUGCAACUGUUUAUUAAAAACACAGCACUGUGCAAACACGAAAGUGGACGUAUACGGUGUGACGCCUGCCCGGUGCCGGAAGGUUAAUUGAUGGGGUUAUCCGUAAGGAGAAGCUCUUGAUCGAAGCCCCGGUAAACGGCGGCCGUAACUAUAACGGUCCUAAGGUAGCGAAAUUCCUUGUCGGGUAAGUUCCGACCUGCACGAAUGGCGUAAUGAUGGCCAGGCUGUCUCCACCCGAGACUCAGUGAAAUUGAACUCGCUGUGAAGAUGCAGUGUACCCGCGGCAAGACGGAAAGACCCCGUGAACCUUUACUAUAGCUUGACACUGAACAUUGAGCCUUGAUGUGUAGGAUAGGUGGGAGGCUUUGAAGCGUGGACGCCAGUCUGCGUGGAGCCAACCUUGAAAUACCACCCUUUAAUGUUUGAUGUUCUAACGUUGGCCCCUUACCGGGGUUGCGGACAGUGUCUGGUGGGUAGUUUGACUGGGGCGGUCUCCUCCCAAAGCGUAACGGAGGAGCACGAAGGUUAGCUAAUCCUGGUCGGACAUCAGGAGGUUAGUGCAAUGGCAUAAGCUAGCUUGACUGCGAGCGUGACGGCGCGAGCAGGUGCGAAAGCAGGUCAUAGUGAUCCGGUGGUUCUGAAUGGAAGGGCCAUCGCUCAACGGAUAAAAGGUACUCCGGGGAUAACAGGCUGAUACCGCCCAAGAGUUCAUAUCGACGGCGGUGUUUGGCACCUCGAUGUCGGCUCAUCACAUCCUGGGGCUGAAGUAGGUCCCAAGGGUAUGGCUGUUCGCCAUUUAAAGUGGUACGCGAGCUGGGUUUAGAACGUCGUGAGACAGUUCGGUCCCUAUCUGCCGUGGGCGCUGGAGAAUUGAGGGGGGCUGCUCCUAGUACGAGAGGACCGGAGUGGACGCAUCACUGGUGUUCGGGUUGUCAUGCCAAUGGCACUGCCCGGUAGCUAAAUGCGGAAGAGAUAAGUGCUGAAAGCAUCUAAGCACGAAACUUGCCCCGAGAUGAGUUCUCCCUGAGACUUUAAGUCUCCUGAAGGAACGUUAAAGACGAUGACGUUGAUAGGCCGGGUGUGUAAGCGCAGCGAUGCGUUGAGCUAACCGGUACUAAUGAACCGUGAGGCUUAACCUUACAACGCCGAAG
This 2923-nucleotide ribosomal RNA is filed under the name Klebsiella pneumoniae. RNAcentral describes it as "23S ribosomal RNA". It matches the Rfam family "Bacterial large subunit ribosomal RNA". The record is from RNAcentral. Lineage: Bacteria; Pseudomonadati; Pseudomonadota; Gammaproteobacteria; Enterobacterales; Enterobacteriaceae.